GAUUUGAGUCUGGUGGGAGGAGGCUGAUAGUCAUGCAGUGGAUGGCUUUCACAAUGUUCGACCUUAUUUCUCUCACUGUUAGUAGCAACUUCCCGUCACACGUCGGGACGUCACACGUCCUAUGCAUAUAUAUAUGCAUAGGAAUUAAAAUAAGCCUUUUCUUUCCCAAAUCAUUUUUUCUUUGAUAUCAGGCGAUUAUAUUUAAUUUUAAUCUUUUUUUCCAAGUUUUUCAAGAAGGCAGAAGAUCAUGAGUAAGGAAAAAAUAAUGUAAUAGAUUAUUGAGCUAAGGACUGAACUGACAUUAAAAUAUAGUUAGCUUUGAAGUUUCCAAAUUACCCGUCACUUUUAUUUGGAGCUAUUACAAAGUACAUGUUUUGUUUUGACACCAAUUCCUAGGCAAAACUGAGUGAAAGAGUUUGUUUUUACUUACAAAGUUUACUGAAUAGCGUUCCUAGAAGUGCCAACAGAAUUAAAGUUCAUGAAUCCAUUCUGUGAAUGAGUCCAAUGUAGUAUCAACAGUACAGCAGAUCAGAAGUAAUUUGAUAAGUUUCUAGUAGUUGUAGUAUCCAGGUAAACUAGUGGGUGUAUCACUUUUGGCUAUAAUGACAGCUCACACUGGAAUUUCUCCAAGUCUAAGCAUCUUGUACAGGUGUAAGAGAGCUAAGUGCUAAGCCUAUAUUGGGAAAUAGUAUUCAGCAUCUAUAUGCUACCCUGAUCUGGAUGAUCUGCAUAUCUGGAGAGGUCUACAAUAUAAACUGCCUGCAAUAUCAGACAAGAACUGUAAUAUCAGUGUCACCAUCAUACAUUAGUGGUCAUGCUCUCUGGAGAUUCUGGGAAUUUUAUUCAAGAAAGAUCAAUGUUUUAAACUUUGGGGACGGAUCUACCAGUUCCCUCAACUAUAGAUACCAGAUGUUUGGAUUAAAGAACUGCAAUUCACUUGUUCAUAGCAUAAUUCCACUCUCCAUUUGUCAUAAUUUCAUGCUUUAUUUUGACAGGCGGACUCCACAGCUAUCCACAGACACAGCUCAGGAGAAGAUGUGCAAACAUCAGCAGCCAGAGACCUGUGUAUGUUCCAGGGCAGCAAACACCACUGACAGAGCCAAUUAAACCCGAGGUUCAAGAUGAGAUAUCAUCUCUACAAGAUUUCCUAGCAAGGGAUUCUGUAUCAGCUGAAAAUCUCAUCAGCAACACACAACAACAGGCCAUUGUAAGUAAAAUGUCAUACUCUGUUGGCAUCCAAAGUUGCAUUUUUAAAAAAAUGGAAUGAAAUUAUUCUGUUUCUUAUCUUCUUAAAUACAUUACUCCUAAUGUGAGAUUCUUCUGCUGUUGGUUGCCGUCUUCAGCCCUGCUCCGCUUCUCCCACUAAUAUCUCCAGAUAUAGAUUCAUAUCCUGAACACAGACUGGAUCAUGUCUUAUGGCUAAUAAUAAAUUAGGAUAAUUAAAUACAGAUAAAAUUUGGAAUCUGAUAAGGGGUGCAGGAUAGUUUCCAGCUUGUACAAUUAU
RNAcentral lists this long non-coding RNA (1504 nucleotides) under Anolis carolinensis (green anole). Its description in RNAcentral is "lncRNA (ENSACAG00000037694.1)". Lineage: Eukaryota; Metazoa; Chordata; Lepidosauria; Squamata; Anolidae. The record is from RNAcentral.